Long non-coding RNA from Bombus impatiens (common eastern bumble bee), 2330 nucleotides. RefSeq lists it as uncharacterized. NCBI's taxonomy places the organism in Eukaryota, Metazoa, Arthropoda, Insecta, Hymenoptera, Apidae. The transcript is spliced from 3 exons. The record is from RefSeq and is a predicted model, not a curated record.
UCUACGUGUGUUUACGUAUGUUUACGUCAACCAGUCAAUAAGAGAUCCUGCUUCUCUUACGUCAUCCUCAGGGAGGGAUAGUAGGUACGUAGCCACAAGAUACGCGUUUGCCAACGAUACGCAUACGAUGAUUUACAGUACCAAUCUGUAUCUGAAAAAGACAUACGAAGGAAGAACGUUGGAAUUGUAAACAUGGUUAAGUGCCAAAUAUAUUCGAUCUUCGAAGAUGGAGCAAAUUCAUUGAUUGGAUGACAAGUGCAGAACAAGAGAAAUUCUUCCGCCAUUUUUUUUUUUCGUGUUCGAGUUUCCAUAGUAACCACAUCAGAUGAGCCCAUUAAUAAUUUUCUUGGAAAAUCACUAGGGUUAUCCCUACCUAUGUUGGAACAAACUUAACACAUUCAUAAUAACAAAACAAUUUAAUCCUACAAGUUAAAAUUCGAAGAGGAUGAGUUUUUUAAGUUAUUUGAAAAGGUUAGUUAAACCAAAAUAAAGUAGGUUACACAGUGCUUCAUCUCGAUUCGAGCAAUUAUUUCGGGCCAGGUGUUUUCAUGGAUUUCUGUAACAACUUCGUACAACACUGUUUUGCAUCGUGAUGUUAAAUAAUAUCAAAUGAUCCAACUACGUGCUCCCUACGUGUACAUUAAAAUGCAUUCUUUUUGCCACCUAAUUACAGUCCAAAAAUUACACAUAAUUACACACCAUUGGAAUUCGUAAGGAUGUCUGUUGCGAACAAAUUUCGCCUUACACGAAUAAUAUUGUAUAGAAAGUCAACAUGCAUGAGAAUUCUAUGAUAAUUCAACGUAACUCAAAAGAAAUGUUAUUUGAAUUAUCGGUUAAUAAUUUGAUAGUAAUAUAAUGUAACUCCCCAGAACGAUUACGGGUAUUUUAAAUUAAUUGAAUAAACCUACCUAAUUCUCGACAGAAUUAAGCUGCAAAGCAGCAAUGAGUACGCGAGGUCACACGACCUACCAUUUCGAUGACGAAUCGGUAAAAUUAUAAAUAAGCUACAACACUGUAUACGAGUCCGUGUACAUCAUAGUGGUAUUUGCCAGCAGCUGUAACAAAGCCGAAACUGAUGAAGAAUAAAACGUCAAUAGGAUUGUAAUUAUUUGAAAAGACAAUCUUUUAAAAUCAUACAAGUCAAAUGGAAAAACAAAAAAACAAUUUAUUCAACAUUCUUAGAAUAAAAAUUAGUAAUAAGCCUGAUGAAAUCAAUAAGUUCAGAUAAAACUUUUAAUGAAUUCUUUUAAUCAAUCGCCAUGGAUUAUCUAUAUACAGGUAGUGACUAGCAUUUGAGAUCAGUUCUAACCUAGACCUAACCCAGACCUAGAAUACAGAAAGACAAAAGUUUUCAGUCAGUUCGAUCGAGUAACAGUUAUGUAAUAAACUAAAGAUACUCUAAUGAAUUUAUUUUGGUGAUGCAUAAAGCGAUCCUUGAUGUGGGAAUAUAUGGCGGAACAAGUAAACCAAAAACGUCGCCCUAGUUAGUUAAACGAGGGUCGCUAGUCACUCUAGUUGCCUGGUAGCACUGCCUGCUUACUUAUCGAUAGAAUAACACGUAAGAAAGCGAUCGAUUGAAGCGCACGAAAUUGUUCGUGCCUUCGCGUUCUACGGACAGUAUAGAAUAGUGAACUCGGCAAAAAACGUUUACAUUCGGAAUCGAUCGGCGCACUCAUGCCCACUACCAUGAAUAAUGGACAGAUAUCGAGAUAUUUUCUCUAAUCCUUUUGAUGAAAAAUUAGAAACACUUUUUAAAUCAUUUAUAAACUGUGAAUAUUUAUGUAAAUUUAGAUUUUUAUCAAAAUGAUUAAAAAAAUGAAACCUAAAUAGGAACUUCUUUCAUCUAGUAAAUCUGAGAACACUUUUGGAUAUUUUAAACUUUUUCAUAUUACGUGCAUUCUGCAAAUUUUGUAUUUUUUCUUUUCUUAGUUUUCUAUAAAUGUACGAACAUCCACAAACUCAUAUAUUUUUAUAACAUAUAUAUAAAAUACUAUUUAGAAUCGAUGUUGUUACUUCUUAAAUUUUGUUUAUCAUACGAAUGAUAUAUAACAUGUUCGACUAUAUAAAAUAUAAGCAACCAAGUCAAUAUCUGUAUUAUCUGUUCUUUUUCAUUUAAAGCAGUAGAUAUUGAUCUCGCGAUAAAGAAAAUUUUGUGAAUAAAAAGAAUCGAUUCUGGUAUAAGAUAAAUUUGAAUUUCAUAUAAAUUCUUUUUCUCUUUUUUCUAGCAAUAAAAUGAUUCACGGACCACAGAAAAUUAUUUUAGAAAUAUGUUCCAUGGAGUUUGAAGUUUGCAUGCCGUUGUUACCGUUGCAUUAUUCUAUGGUACAUCU